RNAcentral lists this non-coding RNA (29 nucleotides) under Mus musculus (house mouse). The record is from RNAcentral. Lineage: Eukaryota; Metazoa; Chordata; Mammalia; Rodentia; Muridae.
UGCCAAGCCUUUGGUAACCUCAAGUACUA